GUGGGGAAUCUUGCGCAAUGGGCGAAAGCCUGACGCAGCCAUGCCGCGUGAAUGAUGAAGGUCUUAGGAUUGUAAAAUUCUUUCACCGGGGACGAUAAUGACGGUACCCGGAGAAGAAGCCCCGGCUAACUUCGUGCCAGCAGCCGCGGUAAUACGAAGGGGGCUAGCGUUGCUCGGAAUUACUGGGCGUAAAGGGCGCGUAGGCGGACAGUUUAGUCAGAGGUGAAAGCCCAGGGCUCAACCUUGGAAUUGCCUUUGAUACUGGCUGUCUUGAGUACGGGAGAGGUGAGUGGAACUCCGAGUGUAGAGGUGAAAUUCGUAGAUAUUAGGAAGAACACCAGUGGCGAAGGCGACUCACUGGCCCGUUACUGACGCUGAGGCGCGAAAGCGUGGGGAGCAAACAGGAUUAGAAACCCCAGUAGUCC
RNAcentral lists this ribosomal RNA (425 nucleotides) under uncultured bacterium. RNAcentral's name for it is "partial 16S ribosomal RNA". It matches the Rfam family "Bacterial small subunit ribosomal RNA", at positions 354 to 796 of the family's 1533-position model. The record is from RNAcentral.